UAGAGGGGGCUACACAUGCAGUCGAGCGGAUGACGGGAGCUUGCUCCUUGAUUCAGCGGCGGACGGGUGAGUAAUGCCUAGGAAUCUGCCUGGUAGUGGGGGACAACGUUUCGAAAGGAACGCUAAUACCGCAUACGUCCUACGGGAGAAAGCAGGGGACCUUCGGGCCUUGCGCUAUCAGAUGAGCCUAGGUCGGAUUAGCUAGUAGGUGAGGUAAUGGCUCACCUAGGCGACGAUCCGUAACUGGUCUGAGAGGAUGAUCAGUCACACUGGAACUGAGACACGGUCCAGACUCCUACGGGAGGCAGCAGUGGGGAAUAUUGGACAAUGGGCGAAAGCCUGAUCCAGCCAUGCCGCGUGUGUGAAGAAGGUCUUCGGAUUGUAAAGCACUUUAAGUUGGGAGGAAGGGCAGUAAGCUAAUACCUUGCUGUUUUGACGUUACCGACAGAAUAAGCACCGGCUAACUCUGUGCCAGCAGCCGCGGUAAUACAGAGGGUGCAAGCGUUAAUCGGAAUUACUGGGCGUAAAGCGCGCGUAGGUGGUUCGUUAAGUUGGAUGUGAAAGCCCCGGGCUCAACCUGGGAACUGCAUCCAAAACUGGCGAGCUAGAGUAUGGUAGAGGGUGGUGGAAUUUCCUGUGUAGCGGUGAAAUGCGUAGAUAUAGGAAGGAACACCAGUGGCGAAGGCGACCACCUGGACUGAUACUGACACUGAGGUGCGAAAGCGUGGGGAGCAAACAGGAUUAGAUACCCUGGUAGUCCACGCCGUAACGAUGUCAACUAGCCGUUGGAAUCCUUGAGAUUUUAGUGGCGCAGCUAACGCAUUAAGUUGACCGCCUGGGGAGUACGGGCCGCAAGGUUAAAACUCAAAUGAAUUGACGGGGGCCCGCACAAGCGGGUGGAGCAUGUGGUUUUAAUUCGAAGCAACGCGAAGAACCUUACCAGGCUUUGACAUGCAGAGAACUUUCCAGAGAUGGAUUGGGUGCCUUUCGGAACUCUGACACAGGUGCUGCAUGACUGUCGUCAGCUCGUGUCGUGAGAUGUUGGGUUUAAGUCCCGUACGAGCGCAACCUUGUCUUAGAUAACAGCACGUUAUGGUGGCACUCUAGAUACUGGCGAUGAACAUCCGACGUAAGUGGCGAUGACCGUUCCAGGUUCAUCAAUGG
This 1164-nucleotide ribosomal RNA is filed under the name Pseudomonas mosselii. RNAcentral describes it as "bacterial SSU rRNA". It matches the Rfam family "Bacterial small subunit ribosomal RNA", at positions 37 to 1198 of the family's 1533-position model. The record is from RNAcentral. Lineage: Bacteria; Pseudomonadati; Pseudomonadota; Gammaproteobacteria; Pseudomonadales; Pseudomonadaceae.